GACGAACCGAGCGAACGUUGUUCGGAAUCACUGGGCAUAAAGGGCGCGUAGGCGGGGAUCUAAGUCCGUGGUGAAAUACCUUGGCUCAACCAAGGAACUGCCUCGGAUACUGGGUCUCUCGAGGAAGAUAGGGGCUUGCGGAACGGCUGGUGGAGCGGUGAAAUGCGUUGAUAUCAGUCGGAACUCCGGUGGCGAAGGCGGCAAGCUGGAUCUUUUCUGACGCUGAGGCGCGAAAGCCAGGGGAGCGAACGGG
RNAcentral lists this ribosomal RNA (253 nucleotides) under uncultured bacterium. Its description in RNAcentral is "partial 16S ribosomal RNA". It matches the Rfam family "Bacterial small subunit ribosomal RNA", at positions 524 to 776 of the family's 1533-position model. The record is from RNAcentral. RNAcentral also lists the same sequence under 1 other name.